GAAGAAGUUUGGCAUAGGAUCAGGUUGUCAGGUCAACAGGCAUUUGUUAAGCUCCUUCAAUGUGUUAAGUGCUGGGAAUGAACAGAAAAGAAGAGGAGAAGUGAAGAGAGGGGAAGGGAAGGGGAAGGAGAAAAGGUACAGGAAAGGAGGAGAGGGAUGGAGAGAGGAGGGGAGGGGAGAGGAGAGAAGAGAAGAAAAGGUAAAAGUAAGCAAUGAGAGUAACAUCUCUUUUGGACUUCAUUCUGACAAACAAGAUGAAGUGGAAAAAUCCUCAGAUCUCCCCUUUUUGGUACCCCCUUAUGCCCUAAGGACUGGCUUUGCAAGGCUGACACACCCAGAAGCUUGCUACAAACAGGAUGAUCUGCUGGAACUCCAGAACAAAGCAAAUGGCUCCACUUCAUAGGGCACUGCCACUCCCCAUGCCAUGACCUGACAAACUAUGAUGGAUUGAUGCUCUGGACUUAUACUGUGUACCAUUAUAAGGACUAUACAAGCCUGCCCCCUCCCCUUGAACAAUGCUGCAACAGGAUGCAGGGCUGCUCUCCUUUUUUCAUCCAAUCAUGUAACUCCCAAAUCUGUGUAUGUCCAACCAAGUAACCUAAGUGUAUAAAAUAACAAGAACCCCUUUCCUUAGUGUCCAGACCUGAGGAAUGGCUCCAUCUGGAUGUGCAUGCAAAAUAAAUCUCCUUCCAUCCUUACUCUUGAGUGACA
RNAcentral lists this long non-coding RNA (711 nucleotides) under Monodelphis domestica (gray short-tailed opossum). Its description in RNAcentral is "lncRNA (ENSMODG00000046272.1)". The record is from RNAcentral. Lineage: Eukaryota; Metazoa; Chordata; Mammalia; Didelphimorphia; Didelphidae.